RNAcentral lists this unclassified non-coding RNA (336 nucleotides) under soil metagenome. RNAcentral describes it as "partial contains 5.8S ribosomal RNA, internal transcribed spacer 2, and large subunit ribosomal RNA". The stretch from base 1 to 120 matches the Rfam family "5.8S ribosomal RNA", at positions 35 to 154 of the family's 154-position model. The record is from RNAcentral.
GAUUAAGAACGUAGCGAAAUGCGAUAAGUAGUGUGAAUUGCAGAAUUCAGUGAAUCAUCGAAUCUUUGAACGCACAUUGCGCCCCUUGGUAUUCCAUGGGGCAUGCCUGUUCGAGCGUCAUUUGUACCUUCAAGCUCUGCUUGGUGUUGGGUGUUUGUCUCGCCUCUGCGUGUAGACUCGCCUCAAAACAAUUGGCAGCCGGCGUAUUGAUUUCGGAGCGCAGUACAUCUCGCGCUUUGCACUCAUAACGACGACGUCCAAAAGUACAUUUUUACACUCUUGACCUCGGAUCAGGUAGGGAUACCCGCUGAACUUAAGCAUAUCAAUAGCGGAGGA